Long non-coding RNA from Dreissena polymorpha, 2797 nucleotides. RefSeq lists it as uncharacterized. NCBI's taxonomy places the organism in Eukaryota, Metazoa, Mollusca, Bivalvia, Myida, Dreissenidae. The transcript has 2 exons. The record is from RefSeq and is a predicted model, not a curated record.
UUUAUAUAUCAAGCGGUUCAAAUCGACAAUUUGGCUUCCCGUGCCAGAAAAGUGAGCCGAUCUAGAGGCUUUCCGUGCCACUACGACAGCGAAAGUAGGCUUUUUUUAAGUAAAAUUAUGGAAAAUUACUAGAUAGCGUACAUUGAAUGUACAGUUUUGAUCAUAAAGAUGAUAUCAAUGCCAUUAGAUAUUUGGCAUAUUACGGAAAAGCUAUGUUAAAAAGUCAUCAAAGUAGCAUGUAUGCACGAUUGUUCCACAACCCUCGUAAUCAUUCCAUCUUCGAUAGAGUUUGUGAUGAGUGUUUAGACCUGCGGAAUAGUGUUAACCAUUAGCUGGAUAUAUGAUUAAACUCAUGGACAACCUCUUUUAAUGCACACAUGUGUUUACGGGUUUUAAUUUGACAUUUUCUUACCUGUUUUGUGAAUAACGAUCAUCCAUUUUUCUUGUUUAUGACAGAGGGGCAGCGAAGAAUGAACAGAGAGGCAGCAUUUUGACAGAAAGGCCACCGAUAUGCGUCAACACCGUGUAUUUGAUGUCGCCUUCGUACAGAGAUGAUUUCGACAGAAAAUCAGACCGGCCAACAUCCAGUACAGAUACAAUACAAUUGUUUACUGCUGACUGGAGCAAUGUUCAUUUGUAUAAGUUCCCUGUAAGAGGUUCCAGAUCGCUUCAACCGAAAUAUUUCAAGAACUAUUCCUGGCUGCGGUACUCUGAGAAGACCAAUGGAGUGUACUGUGCUCCUUGUUACCUAUUUGCUGGUGAUACUUAAUAACCCCCCCCCCCAUUUGAUCAGGCAGCCAUACCUGGAUUUGAGCAACGUGUCUUCCACUCAUAAAAAACACGAGAAAAAACCCUGAUCAUAUUGCACGAGAAGAAAGGGCCGACGAUUUCUUAGCAAUUGAACGAGGAAAAGAAAGAUAUUGAGUGUACCUUAAAUGCAAAUUACAAAGCUCGUGUAGAGAAGAACAGAACAAUUAUUGUAGGCAUCGUGGAUGCAAUUGUGUUUUGUGGGAAACAAAAUAUUGCUUUACGUGGCAGUGCCGAUGAGGAAAAGGGAAAUUUCAGAGCGUUGUUGAAACGUCAGGAAAAACUUGACCCUUUUAAGAGUGGACACCUAGAAAGCGGAGAUCGUAAGACAAUGUAUUUAUCGGAUAUCCCCACAGAUCCUGAACGAGCUGAUUGAAAUAUGUGGAUCUAUGAUAGCGUCAAAUAUUGUCAAAGCAUGCAACACGUCUUUCUGCUUCGGCUUCAUGGCGGCCGAAACCACUGAUGCUGCCACUAUGGAGCAAAUGGCCUUCUGCCUUCGAGUAUACGAUAGGAAUUGUGUGUGUUUACACAUGUACCGCGUUAAAAAGAGAGAAAAGCAAUUAACUUGGUUUACAAAUGACUUCUGGGUAUCUUCUUAUUGAACUCAUGCAGUAUGUGGCAAGAGCUGGAAUCCCGUAUUAUUGAAAAGCCUUUGCUUUGUGCCCUGUGUUUCGGAAAGCAGAUAUGUGUAGGAAUGCAGCCACGUUACUUUUUCUGUAGAAUUUUCAUUCAUUACCACUUAUCCACUUCAUUUUCACAUUUGAACUCUUCAACAUUUUACAAAGGCGGGGGGGGGGGAGCAGAAUUUCUCAUGUCUGUUUUUAACACUUUACUCAAGAUAAUAUUACUGGUGAACAAAUGCCUUUUCUCUUUACUGGGAAAUGUUUUUCAUAAAUAUCCAGAUUAUUUCCUGAAAUAGGACAUCACAACAUAUUAAUACGAAUUAAAAGCUUUACAUUUAUGAUGGUGACAUUAUGAGUUUUAUUAUUUAUAUAUUUGUAAGACAAACAUAUAAUACAACCCCUUGUCAUUAUAGUUUUUUAAUGGCAAAUUGACAGUUUAUCUCUGGACUAUUGCCUCAUUUCGAAACAAGGCCAUACAAGUUGAUUCUAUGUUUAUGACAAUAGCACCUGUGCUAUUUAAUACAAAACUUGUAUUCAUGUUUGGUGAAUAGAUGUUAUCCAGGUCUCCAACACUUUGGAAAUCAAAGCGCUGAAGGCACGAAGUUGUUCGCUGUUGUCGUCCUUGAUUAGCUUGUGUGCAUUGCACAGGCUAAUCAGUGUACAGAGGCUAAUCUUAUUUGACUUGCAUUAAGCCCCGUUUUCCCUGAAAGCAGCCAAUAUGUAUAGAUUUCAAUGACAAACACUAGACUGGCCAAUGUCGUCUUUCAAGCUGGUAUAUACACUCACUGCUAGAGGGUAUAUACACUCACAGCUAGAGCAGAAUCAUUUGUCGUCUGCUGCAGACAGGCAGCGGUUAUCGUCCCUAGCAGAGUGAGUUGCGGUUCUUACCGUAAGGCUUCUAAAUGUUGCGAACUUGUCGAUUUCGCCACGGUUGAAAUUGUAGUGGGUUGUAACCUCCAUUCCAUGUGGUUGAUAUUUUUCAUUGUUUUAAGAAUUUGUACAUGUAAUCGAAAAUAUAGAAACUAAUAUAUAUUUAUGCCGAAUAUUAACUCUAUUCGACGACUUUAAACGUCUUAAUGAUCUGUUUAAAUACCGCUGAUUGUUAAACUGUAUUUUCGUUAGUUUCGGUGUCCCUCGGUUUUUACCUAAGAACGCUCUGAGUAAAGUAACGUCAUAAAUAGAUUAGUUUGCGGGGCGUUCGGCGGGGCGUUCGAUUCCACGAUGGAAGCCGAGUCUCCGUGCUCGAUGGUAUGUUAAAAUAAUUGUGUACGUUGAAGGUAUAGAUUAGUGAAUGCAAUACACCUGUAUGAUAUAUCUUAACUAGGUCUAAUCGUACUCAAAAUAUAAAUAAAUACGUGAUUAUGGUA